RNAcentral lists this ribosomal RNA (364 nucleotides) under Loktanella sp. Asnod1F11. RNAcentral's name for it is "bacterial SSU rRNA". It matches the Rfam family "Bacterial small subunit ribosomal RNA", at positions 435 to 815 of the family's 1533-position model. Lineage: Bacteria; Pseudomonadati; Pseudomonadota; Alphaproteobacteria; Rhodobacterales; Roseobacteraceae. The record is from RNAcentral.
UUCGCCAGGGAUGAUAAUGACAGUACCUGGUAAAGAAACCCCGGCUAACUCCGUGCCAGCAGCCGCGGUAAUACGGAGGGGGUUAGCGUUGUUCGGAAUUACUGGGCGUAAAGCGCACGUAGGCGGAUCAAUAAGUUAGAGGUGAAAUCCCAGGGCUCAACCCUGGAACUGCCUUUAAUACUGUUGGUCUAGAGUUCGAGAGAGGUAAGUGGAAUUCCGAGUGUAGAGGUGAAAUUCGUAGAUAUUCGGAGGAACACCAGUGGCGAAGGCGGCUUACUGGCUCGAUACUGACGCUGAGGUGCGAAAGUGUGGGGAGCAAACAGGAUUAGAUACCCUGGUAGUCCACUGCUGCCUCCCNUAGGAA